Molecule: small nucleolar RNA, 133 nt
Filed under: Drosophila grimshawi
Lineage: Eukaryota; Metazoa; Arthropoda; Insecta; Diptera; Drosophilidae
Description: snoRNA:GH25862
Source: RNAcentral
UGCAAGCAACGGAUUGUCUUGCGUCUAUCAAACAUCGCCAGCACAUCUCAACACUUGCACAAAGCACUGGCGACAAUUGGCGAUUGCUUGGGUCAUCAAAUAUCAAUGGCUCGGCUUCUGCUGAUUGUUCACA